GGCCACCCACUGAAUCUGGCCUUCAGCUUUGUCUCUCCCACCUCCUUGCAGCAGCCAGUGUCCACAUAAAGGGCAACAGGAGGAUCAACCUCGGCCGCCUGGCCUGCAGCCAUAAGAUCCAAUGCUGGACCCUCACUGGCAGUAAGGACACUAAUGAGCACCUGACCAACUUCGCUGCCUACAGAAGUGAGGCACUGUGCAGUGCCCUUGGCAGUUGGCCAAUAAUCCCGACCGGACCGUCCCCCAGGCCCCGCUCACGCAGGAGACGGAUAACCCGUAUGUCACAGGCAUAUCUUUGAAAAGUCCAGCUGCAUUGCCUGACCCCAUGACAGGUAGCUGGUUCUGCACUUGGUGCAGAUCAGGGUCUCCGUCACCACGUUGUAAUACCGGUCGAUAUCAAGGACCUGGCGUACCCUCCUGUGCAGACCACCGCUGGCCAGUGGAUGCCGAGUGCAAGCAGGACUAGUACAGAGCAGUCGUACCUUCCACAGCCUGUAUGGCAUCCACAGCAGAAGAGCGUGGGUGAAGAAUCUGCUGGGGGUUGGGGCCUGGUGGUAUACCACAGAUGGCUGUGGAGGGUAAUACCACAGCUGAAGGUUGUCAAGCAGCUCCAGCUUUCCACUCGAACCACGCUUGAACAGUGCUGCAGACACCCACUUGUGGUCCUGCUUUGGCAUCGUCUUCGGCCACAGUAGUGGGAGCGCAUCAGAAUCCUCUGGCUGAAAGGGGUUCUGCUAAGGUAAAAAAAAAAAAAAAGACCCUGCCUAAAUAAACAGAAGCUGAAUAAAAACAUAAAAUUAUGUAAGCAUGUUUAAAGUUAAAAUGUCAUUUUACCAAGUUCCUCACAACAGCAGGCUCUGCCCCAGGUUGAGGAGGUGCUGGUUGGUCCACAGACGGUGGUAACGGAGGAGCAAGGAAGAAUGUGUCUGGGGAUGGGCAAACAGGUGGAUGAGGGCAGGGAGAUGGAUGAGGAUGAACAUCAAGGGAUGGGUAGGUGGCUGUGGCUGGAGCUGAACCAGGAAACUCUCGUACCUCUGCAGUGACCUGUACCUAUAGAGUUAUACAGUUAUGAAGAAGUUAUUGUGUGUGUUUAUAUGCUAUUAUCAUACAUUUGUAUGAAAAGAAAAACUUAUCAUAUUGUCUUUUAUGUUCACCUGGGAAGAUUUGCUGGUGAGGUUGAGGUUUGGUUUUGCGGCUGAUUUUUAUAUUUUCUUUUAAGUUUGAAAGGUCAAGAUUUGGUGGCAAGCAUGUGACAGCCGCAAAACCAAACCUCAACCUCACCAGACAAAACCUCGCCAUCACUAUAUAAUAAGGUAUUCAAAGGCUUGAAUGAUAAUUGGAGAAUGACUAGUAACAUUGGUCAUUACAGUUUAAGGUCACACUUACCAUUGACAAGCUGGGGAUGGUUAUUUUAGUCCUUUUUGAGGGACUCAGCACAUCUCCGGUGUUGGAUGGACUGCACUGGGGAGCAGUAGAAGGGGACACUUGUGGAGCGACAGAGGGUACCUGAAAAAUACAGCACACACAUAUAUAGUCAGUCAGUCAGACAGUCAGUCAGACAGACAACUGGCAGACACAGAUGGAACGUUAGGUUUACCACAGAUAAAGUGUGUGUGCUCUGGCCAGCAGUGCUUGUUGAAGCAGCAGGAGCAGGAGGAAACUGUGGAGUCACAGGAAACACAAUAAUCAAUAUUUGCAGGGUGCAUGUACAUGUAACUGAAGUUAUGUCUAGAGUGUGAAUCCACUAAGAUGUUUCAACAAUCCUUUUGUCUUACUGUACAUGGAUGUAAAGAAUAAUUAACCAGCGAUUUUAUAAAAACAUUACCAUCACCUUCUGUGCCUGGUUAGUACCUGUUAGUGCCUGUUGCAUGCAUAUUUGAAAACAAUAAAUAUAUUAUGUUAGCGUGUUUUGGUUAGUUUAAGCUUCGAUUAACUGGUGUAAUUUUACCUUAUGAUAAAAGUAAUGCCAUUUCUUCUGCAGAGGAACAGACCUGUUGCCUUGAUGGGCAAACACAAACGAUCCAGGUUGGAGUUAAAACACUGUAUUCCGUACCAAAUGAAAACACUCCCAGAAUAAUCACACUCCACAGCUGAUACAAGUCUAAAGUAGUAGUAAAGGAGUUAUCUUUGAUCAGGAUUUGUCAUUUAACUCCCACAUAAAGCAAACCUCUAGGACUGCCUUCUUUCAUUUACGUAAUAUUAGAAAAAUUAGACACAUACUAUCACAGACAGAUGCAGAAAAACUAAUCUAUGCAUUUGUUGCUUCAAGGCUGGAUUACUGCAACUCUUUAUUAUCAGGUUGCCCCAAUAAGUCCAUUAAAACGCUUCAAUUAAUUCAGAACGCUGCAGCACGAGUACUGACAGGAACUAGAAAAAGAGAUCACAUCUCUCCUGUACUAGCUACUCUGCAUUGGCUCCCUAUAAAAUGUAGAAUUGAAUUUAAAAUCCUCCUCCUCACCUAUAAAGCUCUUCAUGGUCAGGCCCCUUCAUAUCUUAAAGGGCUCAUAGUACCCUAUUACCCCACUAGAACAUUACGUUCUCUAAAUGCAGGGCUACUUGUGGUUCCUAUAGUCUCUAAAAGUAGAACAGGAGCCAGAGCCUUCAGUUACCAAGCUCCUCUCCUGUGGAACCAGCUUCCAGUUGUGGUUCGGGAGGCAGACACCCUCACCACAUUCAAGAGUAGGCUUAAGACGUUCCUCUUUGAUAAAGCUUAUAGUUAGGGCUGGAUCAGGUGAGUCCUGAACCAUCCCUUAGUUAUGCUGCUAUAGGCCUAGACUAUCGGGGGAUUUCCCAUGGUGCACUGAGCUACUCUCUUCCUCUCUCUUUCUGCACUCAUUCAUGUCCCAUUAAAGCAUGUUACUAACUUCACUUCUUCCCCGGAGUUCUUGUGCUUUCUCGUCUCGCAGGUUCUCAUGGAUCCUGGUGGAGCCUCCUGCCAUGGUCCUGCUUGACUGCCAUUGCCAAUACUGUUGUUGCUGUGCACCUGUCCGUCUGUCUGUCUCUCGCUCUCUCUCUCUCUGCCUCUCUCUCUCUCUCUCUCUCUCACCCCAACUGGUCGAGACAGACGACCACCCACCUAGAGCCGGAGGAUCUGUCCUAGGUUUCUGCCUUUUAACAGGCAGUUUUUCCUUGCCCUUGUCGCCAAGUGCUUGCUCAUGGUGGUACUGUUGGGUCUCUGUUAUUAAUGUUAAAGAGUUCGGUCUAGACCUGCUCUAUUUGAAAAGUGUCCUGAGAUAACUUCUGUUAUGAAUUGGCGCUAUACAAAUAAAAUUGAAUUGAAUUGAAUUAAAGUCUUAUUGCUACAGAUGACUGUACCCCA
Molecule: long non-coding RNA, 3319 nt
Organism: Dicentrarchus labrax (European seabass)
Lineage: Eukaryota; Metazoa; Chordata; Actinopteri; Moronidae
Exons: 4
Source: RefSeq, a predicted model, not a curated record